This 492-nucleotide ribosomal RNA is filed under the name uncultured bacterium. RNAcentral's name for it is "partial 16S ribosomal RNA". It matches the Rfam family "Bacterial small subunit ribosomal RNA", at positions 29 to 507 of the family's 1533-position model. The record is from RNAcentral.
AGUGAACGCUGGCGGUAGGCCUAACACAUGCAAGUCGAACGGCAGCACAGUAAGAGCUUGCUCUUACGGGUGGCGAGUGGCGGACGGGUGAGGAAUACAUCGGAAUCUACUUUUUCGUGGGGGAUAACGUAGGGAAACUUACGCUAAUACCGCAUACGACCUACGGGUGAAAGCAUGGGAUCUUCGGACCUUGCGCGAUUGAAUGAGCCGAUGUCGGAUUAGCUAGUUGGCGGGGUAAAGGCCCACCAAGGCGACGAUCCGUAGCUGGUCUGAGAGGAUGAUCAGCCACACUGGAACUGAGACACGGUCCAGACUCCUACGGGAGGCAGCAGUGGGGAAUAUUGGACAAUGGGCGCAAGCCUGAUCCAGCCAUACCGCGUGGGUGAAGAAGGCCUUCGGGUUGUAAAGCCCUUUUGUUGGGAAAGAAAAGCAGCAGGUUAAUACCCCGCUGUUCUGACGGUACCCAAAGAGUAAGCACCGGCUAACUUCGUG